This 76-nucleotide transfer RNA is filed under the name Pedosphaera sp. RNAcentral's name for it is "tRNA-Thr". It matches the Rfam family "tRNA". Rfam says of the family: Transfer RNA (tRNA) molecules are approximately 80 nucleotides in length. Their secondary structure includes four short double-helical elements and three loops (D, anti-codon, and T loops). Lineage: Bacteria; Pseudomonadati; Verrucomicrobiota; Pedosphaerae; Pedosphaerales; Pedosphaeraceae. The record is from RNAcentral.
GCCAGUUUAGCUCAGUUGGUAGAGCAGAUGAUUUGUAAUCAUCAGGUCGUCGGUUCGAGUCCGACAACUGGCUCCA